UACGGAGGGAGCUAGCGUUGUUCGGAAUUACUGGGCGUAAAGCGCGCGUAGGCGGCGGUGUAAGUCAGAGGUGAAAGCCUGGAGCUCAACUCCAGAACUGCCUUUGAGACUGCAUUGCUAGAAUCCUGGAGAGGUGAGUGGAAUUCCGAGUGUAGAGGUGAAAUUCGUAGAUAUUCGGAAGAACACCAGUGGCGAAGGCGGCUCACUGGACAGGUAUUGACGCUGAGGUGCGAAAGCGUGGGGAGCAAAC
RNAcentral lists this ribosomal RNA (250 nucleotides) under uncultured bacterium. Its description in RNAcentral is "partial 16S ribosomal RNA". It matches the Rfam family "Bacterial small subunit ribosomal RNA", at positions 524 to 773 of the family's 1533-position model. The record is from RNAcentral.